Molecule: non-coding RNA, 120 nt
Organism: Bombardia bombarda
Lineage: Eukaryota; Fungi; Ascomycota; Sordariomycetes; Sordariales; Lasiosphaeriaceae
Source: the annotation of a GenBank genome assembly
GUCCGGCUGGUGUAGUGGUUGUCACGUCUUGCUCACACUAAAGUUGUUGUUCGAAUAUUUGUUCGGAUGGUUAGCUCUUGUCAGAUUCCAAGGUGGCAGGUUCGAUCCCUGCGUCGGACA